RNAcentral lists this ribosomal RNA (384 nucleotides) under uncultured bacterium. RNAcentral describes it as "bacterial SSU rRNA". It matches the Rfam family "Bacterial small subunit ribosomal RNA", at positions 30 to 414 of the family's 1533-position model. The record is from RNAcentral.
AUUGAACGCUGGCGGCAUGCCUUACACAUGCAAGUCGAACGGCAGCACGGACUUCGGUCUGGUGGCGAGUGGCGAACGGGUGAGUAAUGUAUCGGAACGUACCUUUCAGUGGGGGAUAACGUAGCGAAAGUUACGCUAAUACCGCAUAUUCUGUGAGCAGGAAAGCAGGGGAUCGCAAGACCUUGCGCUGAUUGAGCGGCCGAUAUCAGAUUAGCUAGUUGGUGAGGUAAAGGCUCACCAAGGCGACGAUCUGUAGCGGGUCUGAGAGGAUGAUCCGCCACACUGGAACUGAGACACGGUCCAGACUCCUACGGGAGGCAGCAGUGGGGAAUUUUGGACAAUGGGGGCAACCCUGAUCCAGCCAUGCCGCGUGAGUGAAGAAGG